UCAUGAAGCCACGUCAUGCUAUGCAUGCCACCCUGAACAACUCAUGUCUGAUCUCGGAAGCUAAGUAGAGUUGGUCUUGGUUAGUACUUGGAUGGGAGACCACCUAGGAAGACCAGGUGCUGUAGGCA
RNAcentral lists this ribosomal RNA (128 nucleotides) under Pteropus vampyrus (large flying fox). The record is from RNAcentral. Lineage: Eukaryota; Metazoa; Chordata; Mammalia; Chiroptera; Pteropodidae.